GCAAGUCGAGGGGUAACAUAGUAGCUUGCUACUGAUGACGACCGGCGCACGGGUGCGUAACGCGUAUACAAUCUACCUCUUACUGAAGGAUAGCCCAGAGAAAUUUGGAUUAAUACUUCAUGGCAUCUAUUUAUGGCAUCAUAAAAAGAUUAAAGAUUACGGUAGGAGAUAAGUAUGCGUUCUAUUAGCUAGAUGGUGUGGUAACGGCACACCAUGGCAACGAUAGAUAGGGGCCCUGAGAGGGGGAUC
RNAcentral lists this ribosomal RNA (249 nucleotides) under uncultured bacterium. Its description in RNAcentral is "partial 16S ribosomal RNA". It matches the Rfam family "Bacterial small subunit ribosomal RNA", at positions 57 to 305 of the family's 1533-position model. The record is from RNAcentral.